GGGAUUCUUACAUUGACUGCAUAGCCUACCUACCCCAUACAUACUUCAGCCUAGGUCCUGUGCCUGAUCUGUAAUGUGAAUUAAGAGACAUGG
RNAcentral lists this small nucleolar RNA (93 nucleotides) under Colobus angolensis palliatus. RNAcentral describes it as "Small nucleolar RNA SNORA51 (ENSCANG00000002099.1)". The record is from RNAcentral. Lineage: Eukaryota; Metazoa; Chordata; Mammalia; Primates; Cercopithecidae.